RNAcentral lists this ribosomal RNA (315 nucleotides) under uncultured eukaryote. Its description in RNAcentral is "partial 18S ribosomal RNA". It matches the Rfam family "Eukaryotic small subunit ribosomal RNA", at positions 1470 to 1796 of the family's 1831-position model. The record is from RNAcentral.
CCCUUAGAUGUUCUGGGCUGCACGCGCGCUACACUGACGCACGCAACAGGUGCCUGCUCCGAGAGGACUGGGUAAUCAUUUGAGUGUGCGUCGUGAUGGGGAUAGAAUAUUGUAAUUAUUACUCUUCAACGAGGAAUUCCUAGUAAGCGCCAGUCAGCAGCUUGCGCUGAUUACGUCCCUGCCCUUUGUACACACCGCCCGUCGCUCCUACCGAUGGGUGAUCCGGUGAAUGAUUCGGACUUCAGCGGCUCCCCUGGGGUGCGCCGGAGAAAGUUUUGUGAACCUUAUCACUUGGAGGAAUGAGAAGUCGUAACA